RNAcentral lists this ribosomal RNA (601 nucleotides) under Streptomyces fildesensis. RNAcentral's name for it is "bacterial SSU rRNA". It matches the Rfam family "Bacterial small subunit ribosomal RNA", at positions 440 to 1053 of the family's 1533-position model. Lineage: Bacteria; Bacillati; Actinomycetota; Actinomycetes; Kitasatosporales; Streptomycetaceae. The record is from RNAcentral.
CAGGGAAGAAGCGCAAGUGACGGUACCUGCAGAAGAAGCACCGGCUAACUACGUGCCAGCAGCCGCGGUAAUACGUAGGGUGCGAGCGUUGUCCGGAAUUAUUGGGCGUAAAGAGCUCGUAGGCGGUCUGUCACGUCGGAUGUGAAAGCCCGGGGCUUAACCCCGGGUCUGCAUUCGAUACGGGCAGACUAGAGUGUGGUAGGGGAGAUCGGAAUUCCUGGUGUAGCGGUGAAAUGCGCAGAUAUCAGGAGGAACACCGGUGGCGAAGGCGGAUCUCUGGGCCAUUACUGACGCUGAGGAGCGAAAGCGUGGGGAGCGAACAGGAUUAGAUACCCUGGUAGUCCACGCCGUAAACGUUGGGAACUAGGUGUUGGCGACAUUCCACGUCGUCGGUGCCGCAGCUAACGCAUUAAGUUCCCCGCCUGGGGAGUACGGCCGCAAGGCUAAAACUCAAAGGAAUUGACGGGGGCCCGCACAAGCAGCGGAGCAUGUGGCUUAAUUCGACGCAACGCGAAGAACCUUACCAAGGCUUGACAUACACCGGAAAGCCGUAGAGAUACGGCCCCCCUUGUGGUCGGUGUACAGGUGGUGCAUGGCUGUC